GAUGUAGCUCAGUGGUGGAGUGGCUGCCUAGCAUGUACUUGAUUGGUCCUGGGUUCAAUCCCUAGUGCAACA
RNAcentral lists this transfer RNA (72 nucleotides) under Marmota monax (woodchuck). Its description in RNAcentral is "tRNA.Ala". The record is from RNAcentral. Lineage: Eukaryota; Metazoa; Chordata; Mammalia; Rodentia; Sciuridae.